GUGUGCCCCCCAGGCCACAAGGCGCGUACAACUGUGAUUUGUCUACAGAUGAAGUCCGGGUUCCGACCCCAAACUGAGGAUGCAGAGAGGCCCCUGAGACUCAAAGGAAGACACCUUGGAUGUGGAAACUGAGGCUCGUGUCUUCAGAUUCCCCAGUUCUGAGCCCUGUCCCCUUGGCAUGUGGAUCUGCUGACCCCAAAUACUUGAUUCUGGUAGCAGAUGGUGACAUCCCACCCAGAUCUCCCUGGCUGGGGCACACACCAUUCGUGGAGGUUCACCCUUGGCUGACAGACUUCUGAGAGGUUUAUGUCCCCCACCCCCCAACCCAGGGACUGAUUCCGCAGCAGGACAGUUCUGCCUCUUGCCUUCGUGAGACAAAGUCCAAGCCACCACACUCCAGAGCUCCCUGUGGGCUACUGUGGCUUUGCUAGCCAUUCCCCACCCUCACCGGCCUCCCAAACCCCUUCAGUCCGCACCCCCCCCCCCAGUCCUGUCCCUCACAAGACGAUGGUCCCCACAGGCACUGCUUCUAGGGAGCCUGACCCAAGAGAGUCAGAUGUGCUUGCUCUCUUCCAAGCACUUGGCAAGUAUAAAUCAUUUGACCAUCAUGACAACACCCGCGGAUAUUCCUCAUUCCAUGUGCACGUCACCAGAGAAGAGUCCGGAAAAGGGGGACACAGCGCGCCAGUGAAGACAGAUGGGAGACCUUCACUGAAAAAGCCUUGUCCACACACGCGUUCGUGGUCCCUGGACCCCUGUGACUUGAGACCUGCAGCAGGCCUAGUGCUUUCCUCUUCCCCGACUGAGCUAACUAAAGGAGGCCAGAAUCUAGGGCCCCCAAGGCCUGUUGACAGCACCAUUAGCCCUUUUUGACUUGUAAGGUUUGCCCUCAGCAGCCUCUGGUGGUCCCUGAAGACCCGUGCAGGGAGCUGGGACAGAUGAGAGGCGGUGGGGGAGGAAGGGAAGCUGGACUCCCCAGCCCCGCCGGGAAUCCGGGAGAACGGUUCACGCGUACAGAUCGUUAGGGAGAAGAAGGCCUACCUUCCUUACGGUCAAGGGGGGCUCUCCAUGUGGGACUGAAACCAGAGGCACACGCCGGAGCCUGGAGCGGAAGAAGUCUUUGGUCUGAGCUGACGGCACAAUUACACGUUCUUCGUUGCCUCUAUAUUGAAACCACAGCCUCGCCAACGCCGAGCGCCAACGUUGCCGUGACCUAUCCGCUCCCCAAGGUUUCUGAUGGAAAAACAGCUCAGGAAAAAUCCACUUAGGCUCUGGGCAAACCGUAAUUUUAGGAAAACACAGCCGCCGUGAGCCAGCGUACUACAGGACACUUCCUUCUGGCUGGAUUCUCCGGUUCAGGAUUAUGACUCCGGUCCCCUGUGUAUUUGGAAAAACAGAUUCUUACACUGCAGACCUCUGCCUCGUGAGCCAAGCCGAGCAGCUUGGAAGUCUCCCACAAGAAGGAGGAUUUAUGCAACACAGAAAGGAGCAGCCUCUGGGUCAUGAACCAUUUUUUUUUUUCCAUUUGACAACACUAGUGUUACAAAUGAGUCUCUUCUGCAACAUGAAUGGAACAGUUUUGAAAUACAGUUAACCUCGCUAGAUCCUAGAGUGACAACCCGGCAAAUCCACAAGGUGGUUGUUAUGUACCCGUGAUUCUCAGCCAGGGACGACUGUGGCCCCCGGGGGACACGUAGCAGUGCCUGGAGACAGUUUUGGAAGGAGGUUGCCCUGCGUCCAGUGAGGAGAAACCAGGGAGGCUGCUCAGCACCCCACGGGGCACAGGACAGCUCCGCCACAGAGAGCGAUCCCCGCCACGUGCCACUAGUGCCGAGGCUGAGACACCCCUCCCCGGGCAAAGUGGGAGGGACACUUGCACUGCCUAGGCUUUUAUGGCGCGGAAACCAAGGCUCAGAGAACGUAAGUAACGAGUCGAGUGUGAUCUGACCACAGCUAUAAAGCAUUGCCCUGAGCCGGAAGCUCAGUGUUCCCAGCUGACCUCCGUAUUACUCGGGGUUUUCCAGAGACACAGAGAGCUAGACAAAGAGAUUCAUUCUAAGGAAUUAAGGAAUUUGCUGAUGUGAUUACGGAGGCUGAUGAGUCCCCGGAUCGGCCAUCAGCGCUUGGAGACCCAGGACAGCCAAUGGUGUAGCUGGUCCAAGGCCAGCGGGCUCGAACCUCAUGAAGAGCUGAUGUUUCAGUUCAAGUCCAAAGGCAGGAAAAGCGAGGUCCCGGCCCAACGGUCACGCAGGAGGAGCUGCCCCUUACUCACGGAGAGUCAUUCUUUCUGUAUCAUUCAGGCCCUCGACGAACCGCGGGAGACCCACCUACAUCUGCUUUCCUCAGUCUGUUGACUCAAACACGGCUCGUCCAGAAGCAACCUCACGGACACGCCCAGAACAACGCUUGCCCAGAUAUCUGGGCGCCGCGUGGUCCAGUCAGGUCAAUGUGGAAAUGAGCAAUCGUAUCUGUCCACUUUACACCCAGCUGCUCGGCGUUCCCACAACUCCUUCUGCUCAAAGAGUGGUUCAUAAGCCGGCUGCUGCAGCAUCGUGGGGAGCUCACUGAAGCCCCCAGCCCAGAGCCGUCGGUGCGCCAAGCCCCGUGUCACACACACAGAGGGGAUGGGAUGGGGGAGGGGCCAUUUCCCACUAUUGAUUCCAAGAGCCAUCUGGGUAAUGUUUUCCCUAACUUCAUAAUCAAUAGGGGUUUAUGGAUCAUUUAAGAGGUGCCACGCCCAGGGGCACCUGGCUGGCUCAGUCAGUUGAGCAUCUGCCUUGUGCUCAGGUCAUGAACUCAAAGUUCUGGGAUCGAGUCCCACAUCUGGCUCCUUGCUCAUUGGAGUCCGCUUCUUUCUCUCCUCUGCCUGCCGUUCCCCUGCUUGUGUGUGCGCGCUCGCUCUCUCUCUCUCUGUCUGAGAAAUAAAUAAAUAAAUCUUUUAAAAAAAGAAAAGAA
Long non-coding RNA from Mustela lutreola (European mink), 2955 nucleotides. RefSeq lists it as uncharacterized. The transcript has 2 exons. Lineage: Eukaryota; Metazoa; Chordata; Mammalia; Carnivora; Mustelidae. The record is from RefSeq and is a predicted model, not a curated record.